GUGAGGAAUAUUGGUCAAUGGGCGGGAGCCUGAACCAGCCAAGUCGCGUGAAGGAAGAAGGAUCUAUGGUUCGUAAACUUCUUUUGCAGGGGAAUAAAGUGCAGGACGUGUCCUGUUUUGUAUGUACCCUGAGAAUAAGGAUCGGCUAACUCCGUGCCAGCAGCCGCGGUAAUACGGAGGAUCCGAGCGUUAUCCGGAUUUAUUGGGUUUAAAGGGUGCGUAGGUGGUUUGAUAAGUCAGCGGUGAAAGUUUGCAGCUUAACUGUAAAAAUGCCGUUGAAACUGUUGGACUUGAGUGUAAAUGAGGUAGGCUGAAUGCGUGGUGUAGCAGUGAAAUGCAUAGAUAUCACGCAGAACUCCGAUUGCGAAGGCAGCUUACUAAGCUACAACUGACACUGAAGCACUAAAGCGUGGGGAUCAAACAGGAUUAGAAACCCCAGUAGUCC
This 445-nucleotide ribosomal RNA is filed under the name uncultured bacterium. RNAcentral describes it as "partial 16S ribosomal RNA". It matches the Rfam family "Bacterial small subunit ribosomal RNA", at positions 354 to 796 of the family's 1533-position model. The record is from RNAcentral.